CGCGGCCUAUCAGCUUGUUGGUGAGGUAAUGGCUCACCAAGGCGACGACGGGUAGCCGGCCUGAGAGGGUGACCGGCCACACUGGGACUGAGACACGGCCCAGACUCCUACGGGAGGCAGCAGUGGGGAAUAUUGCACAAUGGGCGAAAGCCUGAUGCAGCGACGCCGCGUGAGGGAUGACGGCCUUCGGGUUGUAAACCUCUUUCAGUAGGGAAGAAGCGAAAGUGACGGUACCUGCAGAAGAAGCGCCGGCUAACUACGUGCCAGCAGCCGCGGUAAUACGUAGGGCGCAAGCGUUAUCCGGAAUUAUUGGGCGUAAAGAGCUCGUAGGCGGUUUGUCGCGUCUGCCGUGAAAGUCCGGGGCUCAACUCCGGAUCUGCGGUGGGUACGGGCAGACUAGAGUGAUGUAGGGGAGACUGGAAUUCCUGGUGUAGCGGUGAAAUGCGCAGAUAUCAGGAGGAACACCGGUGGCGAAGGCGGGUCUCUGGGCAACAACUCACGCUGAGGAGCGAAAGCGUGGGGAGCGAACAGGAUUAGAUACCCUGGUAGUCCACGCCGUAAACGUUGGGCGCUAGGUGUGGGGGCCAUUCCACGGUCUCCGUGCCGCAGCUAACGCAUUAAGCGCCCCGCCUGGGGAGUACGG
Molecule: ribosomal RNA, 643 nt
Filed under: uncultured bacterium
Lineage: Bacteria
Description: bacterial SSU rRNA
Rfam family: Bacterial small subunit ribosomal RNA
Source: RNAcentral